GGCGAACGCUGGCGGCGUGCUUAACACAUGCAAGUCGAACGGAAAGGCCCUGCUUUUGUGGGGUGCUCGAGUGGCGAACGGGUGAGUAACACGUGAGUAACCUGCCCUUGUCUUUGGGAUAACUUCAGGAAACUGGGGCUAAUACCGGAUAGGAGCUCCUGCUGCAUGGGGGGGGUUGGAAAGUUUCGGCGGUAGGGGAUGGACUCGCGGCUUAUCAGCUUGUUGGUGGGGUAGUGGCUUACCAAGGCUUUGACGGGUAGCCGGCCUGGGAGGGUGACCGGCCACCUUGGGACUGAGGUACGGCCCAGACUCCUACGGGAGGCAGCAGUCGGGAAUAUUGCACAAUGGGCGGAAGCCUGAUGCAGCAACGCCGCGUGCGGGAUGAUGGCCUUCGGGUUGUAAACCGCUUUCGCCUGUGACGAAGCGUGAGUGACGGUAAUGGGUAAAGAAGCACCGGCUAACUACGUG
This 468-nucleotide ribosomal RNA is filed under the name uncultured bacterium. RNAcentral's name for it is "partial 16S ribosomal RNA". It matches the Rfam family "Bacterial small subunit ribosomal RNA", at positions 28 to 507 of the family's 1533-position model. The record is from RNAcentral.